GACGAACGCUGGCGGCGUGCCUAACACAUGCAAGUCGAACGGAAAGGCCCUGCUUUUGUGGGGUGCUCGAGUGGCGAACGGGUGAGUAACACGUGAGUAACCUGCCCUUGACUUUGGGAUAACUUCAGGAAACUGGGGCUAAUAUCGGGUAGGAGCUGCUGCUGCAUGGUGGGGGUUGGAAAGUUUCGGCGGUUGGGGCUGGACUCGCGGCUUAUCAGCUGGUUGGUGGGGUAGUGGCUUACCAAGGCUUUGACGGGUAGCCGGCCUGAGAGGGUGACCGGCCACAUUGGGACUGAGAUACGGCCCAGACUCCUACGGGAGGCAGCAGUGGGGAAUAUUGCACAAUGGGCGGAAGCCUGAUGCAGCAACGCCGCGUGCGGGAUGACGGCCUUCGGGUUGUAAACCGCUUUCGCCUGUGACGAAGCGUGAGUGACGGUAAUGGGUAAAGAAGCACCGGCUAACUACGUG
This 468-nucleotide ribosomal RNA is filed under the name uncultured bacterium. RNAcentral's name for it is "partial 16S ribosomal RNA". It matches the Rfam family "Bacterial small subunit ribosomal RNA", at positions 28 to 507 of the family's 1533-position model. The record is from RNAcentral.